Molecule: ribosomal RNA, 467 nt
Filed under: uncultured bacterium
Lineage: Bacteria
Description: partial 16S ribosomal RNA
Rfam family: Bacterial small subunit ribosomal RNA
Source: RNAcentral
GACGAACGCUGGCGGCGUGCUUAACACAUGCAAGUCGAGCGGGAAACUUCGGUUUCCAGCGGCGGACGGGUGAAUAACACGUGGGCAACCUGCCUCACAAUGAGGGAUAGCCUUCCGAAAGGAAGAUUAAUACCUCAUAACACAAGAGAAACGCAUGUUUCUUUUGCCAAAGAAUUUCGUUGUGAGAUGGGCCCGCGGCGCAUUAGCCUGUUGGUGAGGUAACGGCUCACCAAGGCUUCGAUGCGUAGCCGACCUGAGAGGGUGAUCGGCCACAUUGGAACUGAGACACGGUCCAGACUCCUACGGGAGGCAGCAGUGGGGAAUAUUGCACAAUGGAGGAAACUCUGAUGCAGCAACGCCGCGUGAGUGAUGAAGGUCUUCGGAUUGUAAAGCUCUGUCUUCUGGGACGAUAAUGACGGUACCAGAGGAGGAAGCCAUGGCUAACUACGUGCCAGCAGCCGCCGUAA